Molecule: ribosomal RNA, 459 nt
Filed under: uncultured bacterium
Lineage: Bacteria
Description: partial 16S ribosomal RNA
Rfam family: Bacterial small subunit ribosomal RNA
Source: RNAcentral
CCUACGGGGGGCAGCAGUGAGGAAUAUUGGUCAAUGGCCGGAAGGCUGAACCAGCCAAGCCGCGUGAGGGAGGAAGGCGCAGAGCGUCGCAGACCUCUUUUGCCGGGGGACAAAAGGCCGGACUCGUCCGGUCCUGAGGGUACCCGGAGAAAAAGCAUCGGCUAACUCCGUGCCAGCAGCCGCGGUAAUACGGAGGAUGCGAGCGUUAUCCGGAUUCAUUGGGUUUAAAGGGUGCGCAGGCGGGCCUUUAAGCCGGCGGUGAAAUCGCGGGGCUCAACCCCGCCCCGAAGUUGAAACUGGACGCCUUGAGGUCACAACAGGCAGGCGGAAUUCGUGGUGUAGCGGUGAAAUGCAUAGAUAUCACGAGGAACCCCGAUUGCGAAGGCAGCCUGCCGGGGUGCGACUGACGCUGAGGCUCGAAGGUGCGGGUAUCAAACAGGAUUAGAUACCCCGGUAGUC